GGGGGGAGCAAGCGUUGUUCGGAUUUACUGGGCGUAAAGGGCGCGUAGGCGGCCAGCACAAGUCAGUUGUGAAAUCUCCGAGCUUAACUCGGAAAGGUCAACUGAUACUGUGCGGCUAGAGUGCGGAAGGGGCAACUGGAAUUCUUGGUGUAGCGGUGAAAUGCGUAGAUAUCAAGAGGAACACCUGCGGCGAAGGCGGGUUGCUGGGCCGACACUGACGCUGAUGCGCGAAAGCCAGGGGAGCGAACGGGAUUAGAUACCCCGGUAGUCCUGGCCUUAAACGAUGAAUGCUUGGUGUCUGGGGUUAUAAAGUCCCCGGGUGCCGUCGCUAACGCUUUAAGCAUUCCGCCUGGGGAGUACGGUCGCAAGRSUG
This 373-nucleotide ribosomal RNA is filed under the name uncultured bacterium. RNAcentral's name for it is "bacterial SSU rRNA". It matches the Rfam family "Bacterial small subunit ribosomal RNA", at positions 527 to 896 of the family's 1533-position model. The record is from RNAcentral.